UCCCGCAAGCCUCAAGGCGUGGCCCGCCCCCCCCAAAAAAAAAACCAUCGUGAAUGCCACCACUUUUCCCCCACCAUCUCCAGCCUCAUGCUUGGACUCCCAGUGUCCACUCUUGUCCUUCUAGGGUUCCUUCUCUGCAUGAUGAUCAAAAUAAUCUAUUCACAACCUUCUAGCAGCUUCCCAUUACGUACUUGGAGUAAAAUACAAAUGUCUUCCUGUGGACUGUCUGGUCCUGGCUACCUAUCAUCUUUAUAUCCUGCCAUUUUAUACUCUCCGCUAGCUAUCAUGCUUUUUUUUUGGCCGCACUGCAUGGCUUGCAGGAUAGUUCUCCAAACAGGGAUCAAGUUUGGGCCCCGGCAGUGAAAGUGCCGUGUCCUAACCGCUGGACCACCAGGGAGUUCCCAAUCAUGCUUUUCUUUUUAUGCCACAGGGCUGUGGUGAGAAUUGAAUGAGUUAAUGUAAGUUCUUGGAAUGGUACCAGGAACAUGGCGGGCGAGAAUGAAUGAGGACAGGGCAAGGCUACUCAGAGGGGUGGUUGGUUGAGGACACAGGCUAGUGAAGAUCUAGGGAAGAUGUAUUCCCGGCACCAGAAAACAGCAGGUGACAAGGUCUCAAGGCAGGAAGGAACCUGGGUAUGACCCAGAAAGAGGAAGUGGCCACGUAGAAAUGUGCAGGCCAUGGAACAGAGUAUGGGAUUUUAUCCUCAGUAUAAAGGCACUGUUCUAGGUGAGACAGCAAAGCCUCUACCUCACAGAGCUGACACUCUAGAAGCAGAGAUGGAGCCUAAACAAGGAAACAAAAAUAUUUCAGAGCACGAGGAGAACUAUGAAGAAAAGCAGAGUCGGAGGGCGAGGAGGGAUGGAGAGAGAAGCAGCUGUUUUAGGAGUGGUGGUCGAAGAUCUCAUUGAGGAGAUAACCCUUGAGCAGACACAGGGAUGAUGGGACCAGGCCAGCCGGUCUCUCUAUGUGGUGAGUCCACAUGGAGAGUUUGGGCUUCCUCACCACAUGGUGGUCUCAGGACAGUCAGACUACUUAUAUGGGGGCUGAAGACUUCCAGAGGAAGUGUUCUGACUAGUAAUCUGGGAGCUACAUGGCCUUCUACGACCUGGCCUCAGAGGUAACACAACAUCAAUUCCACCCCUUCCCUGGGUUACCAGCGAGUCACAAGCCUGCCCAUAGUCAAGGCACAAGGUUCUAGAAGAGAAUGUGGAGUGGGAGAUGCUAUCGCAUCUUGGUAGGAGCAGAAAAUCUGCCGCAGAUGUAAACUGGCCUUUUGUAAGAGUCACCAGUUGGUUGUCUGCAAACGUGUGGCUGCAGAGUUGGGGACACAUCGAAUGCCAGAGUUUCUGAGUGAGUCUGGCUGGAAGGAGUCCUGGAAUGGUUUAUCAAGGGAACCUGAUCACAGGGAUGGAGGAGGGACUGGAGAUGCAGAAGGGGGAGGGUCCUGGAGCCAGAGCUGGCCCUGUCGAGGGGGCUGGAGUGUCACCCCCAUUUCCUGGGCAAGAAGGUCCCCUCAAGCUCCCUCUGCUGAUGAAUGCUUCUUCAGAAUAACACUGCCGCUUGUUCUGAGUCCCUCCUAUCACGACCGUGAAUCCUCACAGAGCUUUUACUGAAGCGGGGUAUGUGCUGGGCAGGCCAACAAAAGCGCGGGGUCCUGCUGGUGGCUGUAUUUCUUGUGCUCUCUAUUAACAGAUGGAUCAUCUGUUUAUGCGUCAGCCUUGCAAGCCCCUGCCUUGUGUGCAGACUUAC
Non-coding RNA from Delphinapterus leucas (beluga whale), 1749 nucleotides. The record is from RefSeq and is a predicted model, not a curated record. NCBI's taxonomy places the organism in Eukaryota, Metazoa, Chordata, Mammalia, Artiodactyla, Monodontidae.